GACGAACGCUGGCGGCGCGCCUAACACAUGCAAGUCGAACGAGCGAGAGAGAGCUUGCUUUCUCGAGCGAGUGGCGAACGGGUGAGUAACGCGUGAGGAACCUGCCUCAAAGAGGGGGACAACAGUUGGAAACGACUGCUAAUACCGAAUAAGUUCCAAGAGCCGCAUGGCCCAUGGAGAAAGUGCUCUACCUGUAAGCUAUCGCCUGAAGAGGGGUUUGCGUCUGAUUAGCUGGUUGGAGGGGUAAACGGCCCACCAAAGGCGACGAUCAGUAGCCGGUCUGAGAGGAUGAACGGCCACACUGGAACUGAGACACGGUCCAGACUCCUACGGGAGGCAGCAGUGGGGAAUCUUCCGCAAUGGGCGAAAAG
Molecule: ribosomal RNA, 371 nt
Filed under: uncultured bacterium
Lineage: Bacteria
Description: bacterial SSU rRNA
Rfam family: Bacterial small subunit ribosomal RNA
Source: RNAcentral